RNAcentral lists this long non-coding RNA (9881 nucleotides) under Triticum aestivum (bread wheat). Its description in RNAcentral is "long non-coding RNA (TAES_LNC009283)". The stretch from base 4807 to 4946 matches the Rfam family "Small nucleolar RNA Z247". The record is from RNAcentral. Lineage: Eukaryota; Viridiplantae; Streptophyta; Magnoliopsida; Poales; Poaceae.
AGCGACAAGGAAGAAGAGGCGGAGUACAAGGAGAUUGAGGCGGAGGAGUUGGUUGAUGUCACAGAAGAAAUUGUUGCCUUUGACCUCGACCAGGAGUGAAAGCGCACAAGUCUCUCAUACUAGUCUCUCUGCUGCCGAGUGUUCAUUUUCUGCCUGCCGAGUAAAUCGCUGUUGUUUUGCAUGAUACGUGCAAGUGGAUAAUUUGUCGUUCUUUCUGCCAGUACACUUUUCCUAAAUUCACCGUCAUGUUUAUGGAGACCAAAUUUUGUGGUUGGAAUGUUAACCAUCAUAAUCUGUUUCUUUGCAAAAACGGUUAUUUCAUUUUCUUUAGUACUGUAUUUGCCUGUGAUAUCGAAAUUGUCUGAAAAAUGAUGUUCUUCCUGGUGUUUGAGCCUAGUUCUGUUGUCCAAUACUGUACUAAUGUACGGUAUCUAUUACUGUUUGAUCAACAUUGUGUUACGUCAGGAGCCCAUCUUGAGAAAAUACUCGCCUUGCUUAUUUGCAUGCAUGGUGUCAUGUUUCCAGCAAAACCUCCCACCCAACUUCGGCAUUUUGGCAAGGUAUAAACAUGAUCAACUCAGGUUUUGGCAAUUGCACAAGUGAAAUGCGUCCGGUCAACAUCAAGUGGCAGCAAUUACAGCCAAACGCAGGUAUGCCACGAACAAAUCAUAAGUAUUGAACGACUUGGUACACAGCGGCAGCCUUGUUUCCAUUUGAAAUAAGCAGAGGACAUAGGAAACCGUUAGAAGAUACUACAAAAUGUAAGCAAUUUUCGAAUAUUCAUUUUUGAGCCCGAGCUCAUCUGCACCGUAUGAACAGUAAAUUAAAAAUAAAUAAAUCAUACUUUAGUGAUAAACUGCAUCAAUAUUUGGUCCUACGCGUAUAACCUAUUACAAACCGGUGGUACCAAAAAACCUUUUCUAAAAGUAUCAGCAUCAGCAUCAGCAUCUGUUCUGCUGAUAUUUACACAAGGGGUUCAUGGCGCCAGCAACAGCGUGCGGUCGCCUCUAGCACCAGGGCAGCAUAUUGUGGAUGCUACAAUUCAGUGACUCGUGCCCUGAAUUGUAGGUGAGACAUAAGCGGUAUCUUGAUGGCCAUGGCGGUGGUAUAAGGUGGGAAGACAUCUCACCGAUUUGCUGGUGCCUUCUUCGCCAAGCAUGGAGCACAGCCAGAUGCGACUACCGAACAGUCCGUUAUCAAGAUACUGAUUAAAAACUCUUGUGAUGAUCUUUAUUGGCUAGGCUUCGCUGCGACGAACUUACCAUUACAUGCUGUAUCACUUUCUUCUUACACACCUCCCCCUCAGGUUUGAAGGAGUUUUUACAACACAUCCAACACAUUUCUCCUCACACUACUUCCGCAAUUUUUUUUACCAAAGCCGAUAAAUGAUCUGAACUAAGUUGAAGACGGUUUAUGUACGGACGCGCUUGAACUUCCUCCCGGCGUCGACACGCAGCGACGUGGACGGCACCCCGACCCUGCCGCGGUGAUGCCUUCCGCCCCCAUGGCUUCUCGCCGUGGCGUACUGCUCCUUGUGGGAGGUGAAUCUCCUCAGGCGCAGCGACCGGCGCAGCCUGUCCUUCCUCCUCUCCCUCACCGACGACGACGACCCCUCCCUCGCCCUGCCCCACCUCCUUGUACCAUGCCCGUGGCCACCAUCGCCGUCGCUCUCCUCGUCGGAGCUCCAAUCUCCAACUCCCGUCUCCACGUCCGGAUGCCGCCGGCGGCGGCCGUGGUACACGCGCUUGGUGUCCCGCAGCUUGCGCCAGAGGAAGCACGACGAUCCCUUCAGCGCGUGGCAGCAGCCGGAGCACGCCGCCCCGGCGACCUUGCAGGCGUUCUUGGCCACGCAGCGGACGAUCCCUGCCUUGCACACGAGGUAGGCGAAGAAGAGCACGACGUAGGUGAGGACGAUGACCAUGAAGAGCCUGGCCAGACUGGCGGCGCAGAGGUGCUCCAGGAAGCAGGCCACGUCCCACGUCCCCGAGCAGACGCCCUCGCAGGACGCGCUGAGGAUGGCCCUGAAGGGCGCGGCGACGGCGCCGCCGAGCAGCGUGCCCACGCCGCUCGCCGCCGUGCCCACCACGGAUCCCAUCUGAUCUGUCGUCAAGUAACUCCCUCCCUCUCUGCGGUUGAUCGAUGGCGUCUGUCUGGAUUGUUAAUCCGUUUUGUACCAAACCGUCGGCAGUUGCCUUUGGCAACGUGCGCGUUGGUUGGCUCACGUCGUCAGGUUACUACUACUACUACUACUACUUCAGGGCAUGAGACAGAACAGAUAGUACAGUAAACAUUUCCCUGGAUCUUUUGCCAAAUUCACCGACCUUCAGACAACCUUUUUAAAACAAAAGUGUUUUCUCAUGCUCAUUUCGGUUCGGCAAGAACCAGGUAGGGCAAAAUAAAUUUUGCGAAAGAAAACAUUUCCUCUUGCUUCUUCUUCGUGGCGAAAAGUUUGCCGCGCUGUUCAUGAUGAAAUCAAACUGGUGUUUUUUUGUCUCGUAUUUGCAUCAAAAUCACUUUUUCUUGUCCAAGUGGCGAAAUCUGCCAUGCCUAAACAUGGAUAUUUCAAGUAGGUGCUUGGAGUAGUGAAGCUACAAGAUGUUACAAACAAAGCACUAGCAAUAAUAACAGGUAGAAACAGCAAUUGGUUAGAAGCCGCAAGCGCCAGGUUACUAGUGCUGCUCCAGGGAACGACACAGAACAUAUGAACAGUAAACAGUUCCCUGGAUCUUUUGCCCAAUUCACCGACCUUUGGGCAACCAACCUGAGACUAAGGUUGGUUCAAGUGCAAAUUUCAUCAUUUACCACUUCCCGCAAGACAAAAAGGAAAAGCUAACGAGCCAGUUACAUUCUCCGGGCUCCGGCGCUACUCGGCGACCCGGCAAUGCCAUACGACCACCGUGCCAUUCAUGCCAUUGCAACCACCGAGGGCCAAUCCCAGUCCGCACAGGACCAGACCAACCUCGGAAUGGCUGCCACUGAAUUCCAUGAUCCAACAACCAAAGAUAGAACAAGCUUAACGUUCAGUGACGAUAAAGUUUGUCGACACUUGAACUGGAAUCAAGAUACUACGGUUAGCGACUGCAUCCAGUUUACAAACGAUGGGUACCAUGGAAGUCUUAUAAAAACCACAGGAUAUUCUUGCUGGAAGUUUUCAGACUAACAAAAGGUGCUAGCAACGAAACAAAGCCUCAGAUUCUGCAGGCAAGACAGGCGCGUCAGUUACUUUCCAGGGCAACGAGCAUUCUUCGCUGCCUCUUGGGCUUCCCUGCGACCAAAAUAUUUUGAACAUGAACAUUGUCAGAAAUCUGUGUACAACUCCUUUCCCUGAAGAUCAAUCCUAAUAACACAGGUCAACACUAGGUGCUCUUUCCACGAUUAGUAAAUCGCUCCGACUCAAGAAAAGAACUCAACAGACUUGAAUCCAUGUAAUGUAAUGUAUCAUUUAUCCUUUCACUUAACUUAUGAAAACAUGGACCAGUUACCUGAAAGCAUUUGCGAGAUCACCAUUUGUAGGGUCAAGCUUCAAGCCAUCCACAAAAGCCUCACAUGCUCUCUCGUACUUCUACAAAUACACACCAUAAAAUGAUCAGUUAUACGAUCAUGAUCACGGAUGCUUGAAGAAAACUACUGUGUUAUUUUUACCUUCAAUAACAUAAGAGCUGCCCCUUCUCGGUAGCAGGCUUUUGGCCAAAGAGGUCGCCCCAUUCUGCACAUGGUAGCAUAAGACAGAGCAGCUCUUCCAUUUCCAGCACGCAACGCGCAGAGACUCAUAUUUGCCAAUAUGGUUGCAUACUCAUCUGGACUAGGGUCAAAUGACAUUGCCUACAACACAUCAAUCACAUGCAGCUUUUAGCAAUAUCUAAAAAACUGAGUACUGAUAAUAAUCAUAUCUUUUACGAUGGCGCUCAGAUAGUGUUGUUCUGAUUGAUAUAGAGAUCCCUGUACACAUGAAACCAGCAAAUGUAUUGGAUAAAUUUCAAAAUAGGCACUUUUGUAUAACAGUAAUGUGUUACCACAGCCCUUUGAACACUGUUAAACAUGAUAUGUCACGUAGUUGAAAGGCGCACUACUUAGGUGCACCGGUUUACCUAAACCGUAUUGGCUAGAUAGAGUUAGUUAGUCAAGAUCUCAUGUAACAAUAUUCAUCUCUAUAUCUCCAUUCUUUCUUGAUUCUCAAGAUGUAAUCUCAACUAUAUGUAUGCUUAUCUCAGGGAGAUGCCUCUGCCUAUAUAACACACAACCGUCGCCUCCAACGAGGUACGAAGCUCACCGCUCGCUUACAUGGUAAUAAAAGCCUCCUCUAUCCACUACAUCUAGCCAAACCCAUCCCCAGCCAUGUCGUCCUCCUCCGGCAUCGUCCAGACCGCCCUCACGCAGAGAAGCUCUCUCGCACCAACUACGUGUUGUGGCAUGCACAGGUGACGCCGCAGCUUAGGGGAGCUAGUUGCUUUGGCUAUGUCGAUGGCAUCACACCAGCGCCCGUCAAGUUCCUCACCACGAAGGACAAAGACGGAAAAGAUGCGAAAACGCUCAAUCUUCUCUACUCGAUUUAGGUUAGAGAAGGACAACAGGUACUCAAGACACUUGUCGAAUAACCUCUCCAAGGAAGUCCUUGUGCAGGUCACUUCCAUUGCCAUGCCGCACGAGAUUUGGGCUGCUCUUGUGAGCAUGUUCUCGUCGCAGUCCAAGGCCCGCGUCAACAACAUCCAGAACGUGCUCUCCACGGUGCAGAAGGGGCCGCAAACCGUGGUGGCAUACUUUGCUCACAUUCGGUCUCUCGCAGAUGAGCUUGCAGCCGCUAGGAAGCCGAUCGACGACGACGAGCUGAUCUCCUACAUCAUCGCCGACCUCGACAUGGAGUACCAGCCCCUUGUCUCGGCCAAUGAAGCCCUCACCGAGAGCAUCAGCCUCAGACGACGUCUUUGCUCAGAUGAGCAACUUUGACCAGCUCAUCGCCCUCUUCCAUGGUGCGAGUUCUGGUGGGGGAUUCAAAUUCUCUGCCGACGCCGCUUUCCGUGGCCGUGGCAGCGGUGGCUCAUGUCGCUACCGCGGGCCUCCAUGCAGCAAGGGCAAGCCAUCAAGCGGAGGCGGAUGACCCUCCUACAACAACAAGGGCCGCCGCAAAUCAAGCGGAGGCGAAUGUCACGCGCUGCCAAAUCUGUGGCAAGCCAGGCCACACGGUGCGCGACUGCUAGUAUCGUUUCGAGGAAGAUGAUGAAUCUUCCCAAGAUGAGAAAGUGGUAGUGACGGUAGAUGGCUCCUACAGCGUCGAUACCAAUUGGUAUGUCGACAGUGGCACCACAAAUCAUACCACGGGAGAGCUGGAAAAGGUGACCAUGCAUGAAAAGUACCGCGACCAGGAGCAAGUUCACACUGCCAAUGGAGAAGGUAUGAGAAUUAGUCACGUUGGUCAUUCAGUAAUAAAACACCUUCAUAGAAAAAUUCAUCUCAGAUUCUUUUUGCAUAUUCCUAGUGCUUUGAAAAACCUCCUUUUCGUUCAUUGUAUUACCAUUCAUAAUCAUGUCUUCCUCAAAUUUCACCCGUUCUUAUUUUUGAUCAAGGAUCAGGCCUCGAGGAAAAUCCUAUAUCGAGGUAGAUGUGUUCGAUGGCUUUACCCGUUGAUUCCAGAGGUUAGGAGAUUCAAUAAAUAAGCCUAUGGUGUCACCAAAGUCUCUCCAACACGGUGGCAUGAUAGAUUAGGACAUGCAUCUUUUUCUUUAAUCAAGCAAGUAAUUAGAAGAAAUAAGCUCUUGUUUGUUCUUUGUUGGUGAGCGUAGUUGUGAAACAAUUUGUGAUUCCUGUCAACGCGCUAAAAGUCAUCAAUUACCUUAUCCGGUUUCUACGAGUGUUUCUACCAAACCACUUGAGCUCAUUUUCUCGGAUGUUUGGGGUCCUUCUCCUACUUUUGUCAGUAGACAUUCCUGUUAUGUGAGUUUUAUCCAUGACUACAACAAAUAUACUUGGAUCUACCUUCUUAAAAAAGAUUCGAUGUAUUUCAAGUUCUUCACAACUUUCAAGCACUUGUCGAAAGAAAAUUUGAUUGUGAAAUUCUAGGCCUACAAUCGGAUUGGUGAGGGGAAUACAGAAACCCCAAUUCCUUCUUCCAACAAAUUGGCAUGCCACAUCAUGUGUCAUGUCCCCAUGCUCAUCAACAGAAUGGAUCUGCUGAACGUAAGCAUAGACACAUCGUUGAAGUAGGGUUAUCAUUGCUUGUUGUCGCAUCCAUGCCCUUGAAAUUUUGGGAUGAAGCCUUUCUUACCGUAGUUUAUCGUAUCAAUAUGUUGCCUAGUCGUGUCAUCACAAUGAAACUCCGGUAGAACGUAUUCUCCAUACAAAACCUAACUACACAUCUCUACGAGUGUUUGGGUGUGCUAGUUGGCCAAAUCUUCGUCCUUAUAACAAUCGCCAGCUCAUGUUUAGAUUAAAACAAUGUGUUUUUCUCGGUUAUAGUCCACACCACAAAGCUGUCAAAUGCCUUGAUGUAUCCACUGGACGUGUCUACAUUUCUUGUGAUGUUCUGUUCGAAGAAACCGUUUUCCCCUUUGCACAUCUUCAUCCCACUGCCAGCGCCCUCCUCCAAAUAGAAAUCCUUUUGCCAUCUCACCUCACCGUUAUUGAUCAAGGGGAACACUAUAAUACUGGUGAUCAAUUGUUGACUAAUCCUCUUACUAAUGAUGAACAUGAGUCUUGUGAUGAAGCAGAAAAAACGGUAUAGAAAAUGAUGAAGAAAUUGACCCAAAUCGGUAUUCUAUGCCUACUGGACAAGGCAACAACAACGACGGAGCGGAUCAGCCUCAGGAACAAGGCGAAUCGGCCUCAGGAUCCUCACACCGCAGGUCUGCACUGCGCCAGUGAGUGGGAUCAACCCCGGGAUCCACACCGCACUUACUAUAGCGACCCACUCCAGAAUCCGUGCCAUGUCAUGACGCCAGCAGUGGAUCGGCCGACCGUGUUGCUCCGCGCCAAUCAUCCGAGGCCGCGUGGUCGCAUGCAGACCAGUCGGCGCACAUACAGUUCGGGGACGAACCACGUUGCUACACGUGGCGUGUGCAGCGCCAGGACCCUGGCUCGGAGUCCCGCAUUGAUUCCGCCCAGGCCACUCCAUCAUCGGCUCAUGAUGAGACUGCCGCAGGUGCGGGAUCUUCUGCGCCACCUGGCUUCUCUGAGCCGCGCGCUGCAGCCACAGAACAUCCGCCAAGGUUGUCGUGCCCAUCCUCCUCGGGCUUGUGUGUUGCCCUGCUGCGGGAUCUUCCGCGCCGUCUGCUAAACCUUCUGUGCCGGCUCCUUCGCCACCACGGACAAGGCUUCAAAGGGAGUAACUCGACCCAAAAAAUAUAAACACACAGCAAAAGUUGGUCUUACUUGUAGUACAAAUGAACCAAAUAUUGUUGCAAAAGCCCUGAGCGACCCACGGUGGACGAAGGCUAUGGAAGAGUAGUACAUGACGCUCCAGAAAAAUAAAACUUGGCAUUUAGUUCCUUUCGUCAAGGUAAAAAAUGUGAUUGACUGCAAAUGGGUCUUCAGAAUUAAAAAGAAGUCUGAUGGGACCAUAGAUUGCUAUAAAGCUAGACUAGUUGGAAAAGGCUUUAAGCAAAGGUACCUCAUAGAUUAUGAGGACACUUUCAGUCCUGUUGUAAAGGCUGCCACUAUUCGUCUUGUUUUGUCUAUUGCAGUGUUCAGGGGAUGGAGCUUGAGACAACUAGAUGUACAGAAUGCGUUUCUUCAUGACAUUCUGGAAGAGGAAGUGUUCAUGAGACAACCUCCUGGGUUUGAGGACAGAAAUACAUCCCAUCAUGUGUGCAAGCUUGAUAAGGCCUUGUAUGGACCGAAGCAAGCUCCUAGGUCAUGGUACUCCCGUUUAAGUUCAAAACUUAAAGCACUUGGGUUUGCUCCUUCCAAGUCAAACACCUCAUUGUUUAUUUAUAAUAAGUCAAAUACUUCCACAUUUGUGCUUAUAUAUGUUUAUGACAUCAUUGUUACAAGUUCAUCAAAUGAGGCUGUUACAAGAUUGUUAAAAGAUUUAAACUCUGAGUUUGCUCUCCAGGAUCUAGGAGACUUGCAUUAUUUUCUUGGCAUUUGAAGUGUAGAGAAAUGGAGAUGAUUUUCAUCUAUCGCAAGAAAAGUAUGCAACUGAUCUUGUAGCUAGAGUUGGGUUGCCGGGUUGUACACCAUCAUCAACACCACUGUCUAGCACAGAAAAAUUAUCCUUGUCACAAGGAGAACUCUUGAAUCAAGAGGAUAGUACCAAGUACAGACGUAUGGUUGGUGCUUUACAGUACCUAACUCUGAUCAUGCCUGAUAUUUCCUUUGUUGUCAACAGGUAUGUCAGCUUAUUCAUGCACCUACUACAAUGCAUUUGCCAGCUGCAAAACGCAUACUUAGAUAUGUUAAAAAUACUUUGAGCAUUAGACUAACAUUCAGCAAGUCACCAUCAACUCUUGUCAGUGCAUUCUCUGAUUCUGACUGAGCAGGUUGCCUAGAUGAUAGGCUCUCAACAAGUGGCUUUGCAAUGUUCUUUGGACCAAAUUUAAUCUCCAUGUGUGCAAAGAACAUGCCACAGUUUCGAGAUCUAGCACAAAGGCGGAAUACAAAGCAUUGGCAAAUGCCACAACAAAAAUUAUUUGGGUUCAGUCUUUGCUGAAAGAACUUGGGAUGCGUUGUAAGCAGGUCCCAUGUCUAUGGUGUGACAAUCUAGGUGUCACCUAUCUUUCUGCUAACCCGUUUUUUCAUGCAAAGACCAAACAUAUCAAAAUAGAUUCUCACUAUGUCAGAUAAAGAGUUGCUGCAAAGAAACUGGAUAUUCGUUUUAUUCAUUCCCAAGAUCAAGUUGCAUAUGGUUUCACCUAUGCCUUAUCUACAAGGAGCUUCGAAGAAUUCAAACGUAAUCUCAACUUAACAAAGCUGUGAUUAUGGAAGGGUGUUAAACAUGAUAUGUCACGUAGUUGAGAGGCGCACUACUUAGGCACACCGGUUUACCUAAACCGUAUUGGCUAGAUAGAGUUAGUUAGCCAAGAUCUCAUGUAACAAUAUUCAUCUCUUCUCUCCAUUCUUUCUUGAUUCACAAGAUGUAAUCUCAACUAUCUGUAUGCCCCUCCUAUAUAACACGCAACCGUCGCCUCCAACGAGGUACGAUGUUCACCGCUCGCUUACAAACACAAACUGCUCAACUACAUCGUAAUUACACAUGUUUUACCAGAAAGAGGUGGCAGUACAUGCAACCUAUUUUCGAUGUGAACAAAAAUAUAGUAUGGACUGAGAUUAACAGUUUACAUAUAUAAAAAAUAACAAUCACUACAGGCAAUAAAAAUGGGCCCUAGUGACUUACACAACUAUACAUCUCCGAUGCCAUAAAAUAUUCCCCUCUCUUAAAAGCCUCCGAAGCUUUCUGUUUUAGUUCUAUUCUUCUCUUUGCACACAUUUGUUUAUCCUGAUGACAGAAGCGGUUAGGAUAAAUAUGUAGACAUAUCCUGUAAUGUAAAACAUGAAAAAUGUACAAAUUUGUAAGUCUCAGCCUAUAUCACCUAAUUAAUGUAUAAGACUAGAAAAAUCGAAAGUGUUCUUCUACUCCCGAGCUCAAAUGAGCUCGUGUGAACAGUAAAACAGAGAAAAAAAUGAACAAACAAAAAAACUGUUUUUUUGGUGAUAACCUUUGACAAAUAUGUUCUAUUCUUGAAAAUUUUCAUUGCGAAAUAACAUUCUUGGAAGUCAUGGCAAAAAAAAACAGUACUCCAAAAUGCUUUGAAAAAUAGCAUUCUAGGAGCAUUGAUUUCGAUUUUUUUGCCACGGCUUCCAGGAAUGUCCAUUCAUGACAAAUUUUUGCAAGCACAUAAAACAUUUCUCAAAAAUUGGCACAAAAAAACGGAUUUUUUACUUUUUUUUUU